Schistosoma rodhaini is the source of this 46-nucleotide non-coding RNA. The record is from Rfam. Lineage: Eukaryota; Metazoa; Platyhelminthes; Trematoda; Strigeidida; Schistosomatidae.
GCACUGCUGAAGAGUCUCACUAUAAGACGAAAUGGUCGUCCAGUGC